Molecule: non-coding RNA, 780 nt
Filed under: Papunya picta
Lineage: Eukaryota; Metazoa; Arthropoda; Insecta; Coleoptera; Cerambycidae
Source: RNAcentral
UAAAAGUUUUAWUCUAACUUAAAAGUUAGAUUAAAUUAUGUUUUACAUGUAAAUUUUAGUGUGAUUAUAGGCUUGUUUUAUAUAGAUAAGUAUGAUUUGUAGUUCGCAGUGAAUAUAUUUAAAUUUUAGCUUAGGCUAGAUUUAGCAGUAAUUUUUAAUAUUGACAAAAUUUGUGCCAGCAGUCGCGGUUACACAGGUAAUAUAAUUUAACUUUUUUGGGUAUAGUUAACGAGUAAUAUUAAUUUUAAAUUUGAAUUUAUUGGGUGAAAUUUUAAAUUUAAUUAAAAGUUGAUUUUUGUUAGUGAGGCUAAGAAAUUCUUAUUUAGACUAGGAUUAGAGACCCUAUUAUUUUGAACGUAAAUUUGUUUCCUAAAUCAGUAUUAGUUAUGUUCUUGAAAAUUAAAGAUUUUGGCGGUAUUUUAGUCCAUUCAGAGGAACCUGUCCUGUAAUUGAUGGUCCACGAUUUACUAGACCUUUUCUUUUAGUUUAUAUAUCGUCGUAGGUUGAAUACUUUAGAAGAAUUUAAGUAUUCAUGAUUUUUUUAUAAAAAGUAAAUCAGAUCAAGGUGUAGCUUACGAAAAGGGAGAGAUGGGUUACAUUAAAUUUAUUUUAAGCGAUUGUUCUUUUAAAUGGAACAUGAAUAUGGAUUUGAAAGUAAUUUUAAUUAGAUAAUUAUGGUGAUUUUGGCUCUGGAAUAUGCACAUAUCGCCCGUCGCUUUCACUUUAAGGUGAAAUAAGUCGUAACAGAGUAGGCUUACCGGAAGGUGAGCCUUGAAAGGC